RNAcentral lists this non-coding RNA (25 nucleotides) under Cricetulus griseus (Chinese hamster). The record is from RNAcentral. Lineage: Eukaryota; Metazoa; Chordata; Mammalia; Rodentia; Cricetidae.
UAAACGGCUAAUAGAAAAUAUGGAU